AGUGAACGCUGGCGGUGCGCCUAAAAACAUGCAAGUCGAGUGGGUUUAGACCCACGGCGAACGGCUGAGUAACACAUGGGUACCUCCCUCGAACUCGGGGAUAUUCCACCGAAAGGUGGCGUAAUACCGGAUAGUCCCGCAAGGGUAAAGAUUUAUCGGUUCGAGAGGGGCCUGUGCCCUAUCAGGUAGUUGGUAAGGUAACGGCUUACCAAGCCUAUGACGGGUAGCUGGUCUGAGAGGACGACCAGCCAGAAUGGGACUGAGACACGGCCCAUACUCCUACGGGAGGCAGCAGUUAGGAAUCUUCCGCAAUGGGCGAAAAGCCUGACGGAGCGACACCGCGUGAAGGAUGAAGCCCUUUUCUGGGUGUAAACUUCUGUUCUGAGGGAAGAAAUUUUGACGGUACCUCAGGAGAAAGCACCGGCUAAUUCUGUG
RNAcentral lists this ribosomal RNA (435 nucleotides) under uncultured bacterium. Its description in RNAcentral is "bacterial SSU rRNA". It matches the Rfam family "Bacterial small subunit ribosomal RNA", at positions 29 to 507 of the family's 1533-position model. The record is from RNAcentral.